This is a non-coding RNA of Cricetulus griseus (Chinese hamster), 5146 nucleotides long. The record is from RefSeq and is a predicted model, not a curated record. Lineage: Eukaryota; Metazoa; Chordata; Mammalia; Rodentia; Cricetidae.
GGACAAUAGGGGUUACUGCUCAUGUAAGAAAGUAAUAACGAUCCUUUCUCACGAGUGAACCCCACUUUGGCAGGUUACCCUAAUAGCAGCAUUUGUUAUAGGCAAGUGUGACAUCUCCCCCCACUUGCAAGACAAAAGUCCACUUUGCUCUGCUUUCCUGUCAUAUUAUGAGGCAGCUAGACCCCAGCACCAUGCUGCUGUUUGGAUAGUACAGCCACCAGAAUUGUGAGCCAAACAAAUCUCUCUCUCUCUCUCUCUCUCAUAAAUAGUCAGCCUCACGUUUUUUGUUAUAAACCACAUGACAGAUUGAGACAAUGACCAACGUUGAGUUGGCACUUGUGUGCUAGGCCCUGUGAAAAGACCUUUCACUGGUGUUAUCUCUGUUGACUAUAAAGCACAAAACACCUUGAACCUGACAAUCCUCACUUCCCAAGGUACAUGAAUAAGUAAGUAACUUGCCAAGAUCUUAUCACCCAUGUAUAAAGAAGUCAGUAUAUGAACGGUUCUUUUUGAUUCUAAAACACCGAAGCACUAUACUUACUAGCAUGAUACAGUCUGUCUCUUGGAUUGGCUCCAUACUGUUUGUAGCCAGUUAACAACUGUUCAAUCUUCCCCUUUAGGUAAUUUGUCCAAAAUAAACAAGACAUUGCUACACUCAUCGAGCUGAAGUUUCACUGUGCUCUUUCACCCUUGGUGACUGACUGAACCACAGGAAAAUUCUCUUGCAGUCUUCCUUGGUGACUGUAUCUGGGUUCCCACACAGCAUCCUAUGCAGGCACUCACUGACCACUUUUCUUCUUAUCCUGAUGACAAAUGGUCAUUUAGAUGGCUUUGCAAUCUAGCCCCACUUCCCUUGGGGACUGUUGUAUAAACACAAGACCACGCCACAGAUCACAUCUUUCAUCCCCUCCCUUCCUCUCUAUUCCUGAAAUCGUUUGACUUUUGUGUAUGCUCUAACCUCAGCCAACCUGCCCUUCCUGUUUCCAUUUUCGUUGCUUACUUAUUCGUGUCUGUAACCUCAGGGUGGAUAUAGACUUGCCUGGCUCUGAAACGGUCUUGAAAGAUACAGUAUCAAAUGAUCCAACCCCAAGUGUUGAAAUAUCAAGACAUCAAAAUUCUACAAGUAAAAUUCCUGAAAAAUGAUUUAAUAAUUUUUAAAUAUAUCUAUUUGCAUUUUAAAUAGAGAGUUUGAGAAACAUGGCAGAGGGAUUCCACUGGUAAAGUACUUUCCAUAAAAGCAUGUGGUGGUAUGAGUAAGAAUGACCCACAUAGGCUUAUCUUUGAAUAUUUGUUCAUCAGAGAGAGGCGAUAUUUAAAAAAAAAUAGGAGGUGUGGCUUUGUUGCAGUAGGUGUGGCCUUGUUAGAGGAAGUGCGUCACAAGAGGAGGGGGAAGGGCUUUGAGGUUUCAAAAUCCCAAGCCAGGCCCCAUGCUGCUCUCUUCCUGUUGCCUGAGGAUUUGGUGCGGAACUCUCUGCUACCUCUACAGCACCGUGUCUCCUGCAUGCUGAUGCGUCAUGCCAUGAAGAUAAUGGACUAAACCUCUGAAACUGAAUGUGGCAUUUGGAUUGUGUCUGAGGACAGUGAUGGCCCCAGUGGUGCAUGAAUGAAGCCGGCCAGGCCUCAUAACUUCAAAUUUCUCCAGUCAUUGCCACAAGGUCAAGGUGGCACACUGCUGAUGACACCAAGGCCUUGAAAAGACUUGUGCCACCAGGCAACUUCCCUGUCCUGGAAUUGCAGAUACCUAGGAUGAGUCAAACUGAAGGGUUCUCAUGGACAAAAAGGGCCAGUUCUGGAUUAAACUGAGAACUAGAAGCACACUCCAGACAUCCUGUGAAACAUGCCAACUUCACUUAUAUACAGUAUUGGGAAAGCAACAAAAAUGUUUCUGCUAAGGAUCAUAAUCCAAAACAUCCCACCUAGGCUGCCCUUCAAAUGGAAAAUGGGUUAUUGUUUUUCACUCCUAGUGAAGUAGAAAGUCCAGUGAUUUUGUUUGUUUGUUUUUUGAGACAGGGCUUCUCUUUAGCUUUGGAUCCUGAACUGGAACUCCCUCUGUAGACCAGGCUGGCCUGGAAUUCACAGAGAUCCACCUGCUUCUGCCUCUGGAGUGCUGGUAUUAAAGGCACAAGUCUCUGCUGCUGGGCUGGCCAGUGGUCUUUUAAAGAGUAACUAUCACCUUUAUUUUUGGGGUGUUUCUCAUACUUCAUUUGUAGUUCAGACAUAUGCUUCUUUGCAGUUGCUCCAAAUAUGAUCGAACAAGCUUUGCAGUAAGAAAGCUGCCUAGGUUGUCACGUUCCCUUGGGUGCCACUGAAUAAAGGGAGGCUGUAUCUGAAUUUAGAAUUAGGUAGAGAAAGACAGAGACAGAGGUAUGCUACCAAAGCUUCCGGUAUUGGGACUGGUGCUGUAAUUGCCCCUAGGAUAUGACUCAUGGCAGCAGAAUUCUAAGAGAAAGCUAAGUCACUUAUGGGGACUUGCUGAAAAUGACAUUCAUUCCAUCUCUACAUAGGCGGCCACACCAGUUCCUUUAAAGUGAUAGUUGAAGGGCUCUUUGCUGUUCUGUUAAUGAUGAGGACUUUUCCAGGAUUGACCAAGCCAGUCAUUCCACAUGGCUGGAGACAAAGCUGAGAGUAGCUAGCCACCAACUUUUUUCUUCUUCUUUGUCCACUUCUUUCCCCCAAAGUGGUUAACAAACAGAGAGUAAAGGGUGGAUGCCUCCCCCUCCCCCUCCCCCUCCUCCUCCUCUGUCUUCAUCUUGACAGGGUCUGGCUAUGUACCUCUGUCUGUCUCCACACGCAUGUUUUCCCUGCCUCAGCAUUCCAAGUGCUGAGACUACAAGGUAGGUACCUGGCCCAGGAUUGUCUCCAUGAGGACACUAAGGAACAAACUGUAGUCAUAGGAUGGAGAACACCAGUGAGCCUGGUGGGGAGUUAUCUGGGGUACCAAGGAGAAUGUUACUGAUUUCUCCAGCUGACUCUGCCUCUGAGGAAAACUGGUUCCUGUUGUUCCCAAUGACCUUGUAGAUGCCUCCCUCAUAACCCCUUUGGAAGCUAUACUUGCAUGUCUGUGAUGUGUGUCGCAAUAAAUGGCUGAGAGGAGGAGACAUUACCCAAUUUCCAGUCUGACUCUGUCUCAAAGGUUGGAUCUAUUAUGACUUCCCAGGGCACAGAAUGGCGUUUCCUCAAAGAAGUUCAUUAUGGAUGGGGGCGGGGCAUUAUAUCUGCAAGAAGGACUUGUUUCUGAGAAGGGUCUCUGUCUUUUCUUAGGAAGAUGUUACAAAGAAAGCAGAACAAAACUUUAUUAUGUAAGUUGCAGUAGGAAUAACAAAGUAUAUUGAGGAGGGAACUGCUUUUAGUCCAUGUGUUUAGAAAAUGUACAACUCUUGUAGUAACAUUGCCUCUUAAAUACUAUGGACUUUCUGGCCUUAGUUUUGCAUAAAUUAACAGAGGAAGCACCCACUCCCUGUAAUCCCCUAUCUCCCUGAAAAAAAUCACCAAUUAGGGGCACCUGAUCUCUCUAAUAAUAUCAUCCUACUGUGUAGAUGACAGUCUGUGUAUUUUAGGUUGAAAAAUUCAAGGUACAUUGUUUCUGAAGGAAUAUGACUUACAAUAAGUGCCCUCAGGAGCAUUUGAACAAAAAUGUUUUGAAAUGGAAAAAAAGGAAAUAAUCAGUUAUGACUGGGGAUGGAAACUAUAUUGACAGUAACAAUAAUAAUAGUAGCUUUGUUUACUCCACUAUUCACUUGGGCUCCAAAUAUACAACAGCACCUCACUGAGAGAUGGAAAUGUCCUGGUUUAAAUGGGAGAGAAUUGUGGGAGAUGAAAGUUCUGUGGCAGCAUUACUAUGGAUAGAAUAACACCUCCUGUAAAGAACUUACUAGUGGUCAUUUGCAUAAUGAUUAUGUUUCUCAUAGUUCAAGAAAAAUUCUAACUGGAACCCUUACAUAGAAAUGCUACCCUAUUUUCUGAAUAAAUAGCAAUAAGCUGCAGUAAAGGGCAGCUAUGAGGAUUGACAUUGUCAGCAUGUUCCUAGUGUUGAUUAUGCUGUUGAAAUACAUUUCAUAAGCACUUUUGGAGGCAAAUUUAGGCUUUUUGAAAUACUGCACAUUUUCAGUGAUUUCUUGUGGGGAAAGUUCAAGAAAGCUUUAUUACACCCUGAUACAUUCAGCUGAGUUCAGCACAGAAAAUCUCUCCAGCUGGGAAUGCCAUGGUAGAGGAGAGAAACAAAGAAGAGGUUAAACAGAUCUUUGUUCUCAAAGGCCCUUCCAACCUGGAGAGAGAGGGGGAGAGAGCAGAGGGAGAGGGGAAGUUGAGUAGGGGAAUAGACUCUUUGUUUGUUUGGUUGGUUGGUUUUUGAAACAGGAUCUCACUAUGAAGCUCUGGCUGCCCUGGAACUCACAGAGAUCCACCUGCCUCUGUCUCCUGAGUGCUGGGAUUAAAGGCCACACACCUGGCUAGAAGAUUCUUAACCAAAAUGUUAGUGUUGUGAUGGAUUUACAGUGCUGGGUAGUCAAGGAGAGACUAGAACUUCCAAGUGUGAAGAUUAGGGGAGCUAAUUACACUGACAACAGCAAUAAUUUCAGGAGCAGCUGAGAUUUCUAAGAAUCUAUUAUAGUCUAGGUGCCUUUAAAAUUGUUAUUUUGUCUACUACUUGCUGUGGCCUGAAUGUUUGUUUUGUCUCAGAUUUACAGAUUGAAACCUUCCUUCCCAAUAUGUUGAUCUGAGGUGAAUUUUUGGAAGGUGGGGAAGUUGUGAGGAUGGAGCCCUCUAGAAUGUGAUUAGUGGGAACACGAGAGCUGGCCUGUCUCCAUGGUGUGAUGAUAAAACAAGAAGGCAGAUUUGGAGAACCAGACCUAAAGUCUCCAGGCACCUUGAAUUUGAACUUUCAAGCCUCCAGAAUCUAAGAACAAACUAUUAACCUAAGAUAUAACAUGGCUUAGAAAAGUUAACACAGGGAGGAAAAAGGUAUACCCAAGAUUUUGAGUUUGCAUCAGAACAGACAUAGUUAUAUGAAAACAACAUAGUGGUUGGUGAAAGCAACCUUGGCACUUCCAGAGAGAGUGCCUUCCCAGUACUGGCUAUUCAUCUGUGACAUUGGUGCAAUUUUUAUUGCUUUUAUAGAAUUUUCAUAUAAUAAAGUCAGAAAAAAGUC